Molecule: long non-coding RNA, 6742 nt
Filed under: Xyrichtys novacula (pearly razorfish)
Lineage: Eukaryota; Metazoa; Chordata; Actinopteri; Labriformes; Labridae
Source: RNAcentral
UUUGAGUUUGCACAUGUACUUCGGGUUAGGAAUAGUAUUUCAAACCAAGUAUCUUUGGUUUGCAUAAGUAUUUGGAGCUUUUGGAGUUCAAUUAGUGCUUUGGGUUUGCACCAGUAUUCUUUUUGCAUCCAGUUUUAGGUUGCAUCAGUAUUUUGAGUUUGCAUGAGUACUUUGAGUUAGCACUAGUAUUAUGGUUUGCAUCAGGAUUCUUUGUUUGCAUCCAUAUUUUAGGUUUGCUUAAGUAUUUUGGGCUGGACCGAUGCUUUUCGAAGUUGCACAAGUACUAUUGAUUGGCUCUAAAAUUUCAGGUUUGCACAAGUAUCUUUGGUUAGCUAGGGCAGUAUUUGUGGCUGCACUAGUGCUUUUGGUGUUUAAAUGACUGCUUUGGGUUUGCACCAAUAUUUUCGGUUUGCAUCUUAUAUUGUGAGUUUUCAUCAGUAUUUUGGGGUUUGCACCAGCGCUUUUCAAGUUUGCACGAUCACUUUGGGUCAGCUCUAGUAUUUGGGGUUUGUAUUAGUAAUCUUCAUUUACAUCCAUAUUUUGGGUUUUGCACCAGUUGCAUGAUAUAAAUUUUAUCACCAGCUGUAGUCUGGUUUUGGCUCAUCUUGACUGUCUUGUUGUAAUUUUACAAAGAGGCAGAUUAAAAACUGUAGAUCAUGUGGUCGUGAAGAUUUCAUGUUUUCAUUCACAUGCUCAACUCCUUCAGAAAUUGUCUAGUUUUCAUGAGCUGAAUACAUCUUAAGUUCAUUCAUCCUUAUAAAGCAAAGAAUCAGCUCCUCUAUCUGCAUCGUCUUCUGCUCCUUUUGAAUCAAUCUACUGCGUUUGUAACAGAAAUGUCACCUGAUUCAGCGUCCGCUCCCCCUGAAGCCCUCUCAGGAGUGAUACUCUGAAGGAAGUGAAAAUCAGAUGAGGCGCAGAUUCAUAGGAAUCAGCUCAGUGACCUUGAAUUAAUGAGCCCCGGGCUGAAUUUUACAUAACUGUAUGGACUGAGAUUGCCUCUGAAGGGUCUGCUGGAGAACUCCUGAUUAUUCUUCUGCAGACAGCGGCCUACUUAUGAGCCGUUGGUGAUUUUCAAUCUGGGCUGUCAUGUGUCCCAAGGCGGUUACAAGUUACUGUUUGAGGUAGCGUGGAGUAAGCCGUCUCCUGAAACAUUGAUUCUUCUUCCUCUCGCCAAUAUCCCCAUGUGGAAUAUAAGCUACUCUAAUUCCUCCCAUGUCUGAGGAGAACAUGCAGACUCCUGUAAGCUCAAGACUCGCUCCUCAGAGGACUGUGAGCGGAGGAGUGUGUGAAUAACAAUACUCCUGUUUGAGAGAAAGAGAGAGACUCCAGUUUUCAGUAAAGCAUGAGCGGUCAAUUAUCUUGAACCUCCGCCGCUCGUACAUGUGCGAUCGCUGCUUUUACUCGUUUUCGGAGGCCUCGGAGUGGAUUAUUUUACAAAACAAGGUUAUGGCACGAUAUUAAGUCUAAUUAGACGACAACUCUCAGUGCGUGGGUUGGCUGACUAAGGGGGAAAAAACACAAGAAAACCAUUAAAGCAUUAGAAUAAAAACAUUAAACUAAAUUUAAAUGUAUAGAGCAGACAUCUACAGCAAAAUGAGGAAUAAUGAGGGCGAUUCUACCUGUUAGUGUUUGUUUUCUUUCCUUUAAUUCUGUUGUAAAGUCUGCUAUCCUAUAAAUUAGAAACUUACCUUCUCACAUUUAUUAUGAGUUAUUUUCCCUCGUAUUAAACACGUGUUCUUACUGUACUGAGGUGAACUACAGUGGCCAGACUGAGCUAAAGGUCGCUGUCAGAAUCAGUAGGAGGUAGUUGUCUUUGCACAAGAGGAGCUGUGAUAACAGACUUUUAGGGAGCUGUUUCAGUGAACCCUCAGGCAUCUUAAACAUCAUCUCUAUCAUUUUUAAUUCACCAUAAAUCUGUGUCUUUGGUUUCCUUUUCAAGUUCUGUUUUUCUUCUUUUGUGCUGCAUUAGGAUCCUUGUAGGGUACAUUAAAUCUGACAGAUUAAAGACCCUAUAAACCCUGUUUCCAGGUACCCUUUAGCAUCUAUUUCAAGUAUUAUUUGAUUGUGUUCUAAAGCAGCCUUUCCAAGCCCCUUUAGCAGCAGUUUUAAGGGACCCUAAAGCGUUUAAGUCUGUUUUAAGGUACACUUAAAGGUGGUGUAGUCAGGAUCUGAGGAAGUUCCAGUUUUUAGUUGAAAUCUUGAAUGUAAACUCUACCCCUCCCAACCAUUUUUCCCCUCAGCUCCUCCACUCCCCUCAAGCCCCGCCCACAAACAGACGCUCCUGCUCGCUCGUAUCGUUCCAGUUAAAUUCAGAUAUAAUGCAGAUAAAUACUUCAGAUCAUUACAAAUGGGGCCCAGUCAAGGUGAAAGUCAAAAGCAUUGGUGCUACUGUAGAUGCCAACAGACUACCAGCAAACACAAUGUUUGCAGGACUUCUACAACGAGGAUAAAGUGACAUAGUCCAGGACCCGAGGGAGGACAGUUUAGCGAUGGCGCUACAACACGCUACAGCAGGUCCGUUUGACAAGAAACACUUCUGUUACAGACACUUGUCUUACUUUGUUAAAGCGGUUUACCUGUCCAGCAGAAAGGUUACAGGGUCACCAAGAUCCCCAAGCGUCCCCCAUCGUUUAUGUUGACCCGGCUUUUUAGCUCUUGUCCGGUCUACCUCCGUCUUAUUCUGCCAAAGUUUCCGGUAUUUACUUUGUUUUAUUACUUGUGUUUUUUAGCACCAAUUUCAAGGUCUAUUUUUUAACUUUGAAGCACAUUUAUAAAUCUUUUAGCUUUAAUCUGUUUCCUCCUUUUUAGCGCAUGACCAGACUUGUUUUGAGAUCUGUUCAGGAUUGUUUUAAGGUGCUCCAAAACAGUCAGUAAAACAAACGCUCUGUCAGCUGUUUCGAGGUACCUUUAACAUACACUUUUAUUCUUUACAGACGAUAAAACUGACACAUGAAGUUCCUCACCGCCCAUAUUUCACCUCUUUAUUGCAAAUCCUCUAAAUUAGUUUCUCCGUUUUAACCCCGGGGUUUCCCAUCAUGCUCUGGGAUUUAAACCCCCAUGUUCCAUCUGCAGUGAGCCGUCAGAAGAGAUAUUCUGCAACAUCCUCUCGUUGCUAACAACUUGUGUCGAUGAUUAGGAUGAUUUUACACGUUGCACGCUGCCUCCACUUCUUGAAGGCAGGAAUGAGAUGCUGCACCCAAUGUCAGAGGAUGCCUGAGGGCUUUCACAGCCCUUUGCUCAGCAUCCAGACUCUGCCUGCCUCUGUGGAUCCCUGAUGCCCAGAAUGCAGAAACAAGCUUUUGAGAGGCGAGACUGCUGAGUGCUUCAGCCGAGCCUUUGAUCAGGCCUGAAACUUCCCGCUGGCCUCCUCUCUGUGCAAAGACCCAGAGGUGGUAUUGAUUUUAAAUGAUGCUUUGUGUCUCCUCCAGCUGCAUACAUGCAUAAUUUGUUUUCAUUAUUUGUUGGGCAGAGACGUGUCUGCCUGUUGUCAGUGGUUCAUUGUGAUGGACACAGUGUAUUUUUCUUUGUUUUGUACAUUAUUACUGCUCUGUGCAUCAUGGUUGUUCUAUUGAUGGAUGUGAAAAUGACGAUGAGGAAACUAUGCAGUGAUUUAUGAAGAGUUAGACUAAGCUGGAGUGAGAUCCUCCAAUUACAUUCAGUUUUUAUUAAAAUAUCUCAUUACAGUUUGUUGAGGUAAUGCACUGGAAUUCACACAUAACCCUGAUAAUGGGAAACCAAUUAGGGGAUCUUACCUGGAGCGGAAGGAGGCCAGUGCACUGUGCUUCUGUGUGGGUAAUAUUAAACACUCUGAGAGCUGAUAUGACCAUCCGCCUGGGGGAUGUUUAAAGGGGAAGUAGGACAAACAGUAUUUGGCCUUUUUUGAGGGGAGACAAGUGGAGUCAAUGUGCCAAACGCAGCUGGAAUCAGGCUGUAGGUUCUGCAGUCAGAGGACCAUGUAUUCAUUUGUAUGGGGGUUUGUGUUUGACGUACCCUUUACUGGGGUUAGAGUAUGAGGGAUUUGUACAAAGUCGACAUCUUUGUCUUUAAUUUUUCCAUCUACUGCACAGAACCUGAAAUACUUCCUCACAGCUCUUCCUGGUGUCCUGCUCAGUGCGGCUUUGCUUGACCAUGUCCUCCAUUCUUGCAGAAAAACGUGCAUUAGUUUGCUGAGGUCAAGAGUGUCAUGCAGUAGUCAGGUUACGAUCAUUAACUUUCCUCUCAGAAUGUCUGAUAAAAAGUUCCCGCCCUUUAGAGAACCCCGAUUUAACCGUCAAACUAAGCCGUGCCGAUAGAGUUGUGUAGUUCAUCAAUGAUUUGUUCAAAAGUACAGAACUGCUGAGUGAACGACAUGAAUGGAAUCACUCCAAGACCUGAUUCGUUCAUUUCUCAGUUCAACUGAGCUCAGCCGCGAGCGUGGCGUGCCGUUUGGAUAUGGAACUGCCACUUUUGACUCUUUGGCGAAUGACACACAGCCAGCCAGCGAGAAGGCUGGCCAAGUCUCAUGAUUUGUUCACAGCGAAUGAACGACAUGUAUCGGCAGAAUAACAUAACUGUUUUUGUUCACAGAGGUCAAGAGUGUCAUGCAGUAGUCAGGUUACGAUAAUCAACUUUCCUCUCAGAGUUCAAAUAAAAGUUUACAUUUCUCAUUUAAAGUUCCUGCCCUUCAGAGAAUCCUGAUCAAACCGUCAAACUAAGCCAUGCGAUCGAACAUUCAUCACUUCUCUUUCACUUUAUGUUCCAGUCUAUAAAUACCAAGAAAAUAGUGACUUUCUGACGUUUACUCAUUCAGUUCUAUAGUUGGAGCAGCAGGAUGAUGUUUGCAGGAAUGACUAAGAGAAACUACACUCACACACUCCUGGUGAAACUCACGCUUGGUAAUGAGUACAUAUCGUCCACUGCAACAGCGUGACUCACUGAUGCGUUUUAAACAGCCGCUGGGCAGAAAACAGAGCCAUAAAUAAGCAGUUUCAGGGUUUCCACUGUGUUUUUUUCUCACAAUGAUGAACAAAGUCACCCCUUAUCUGCUCUGUUGUCCUGCUAAAGCUCAUCAGGCUGAUCUUCAAACGAACUCCAGUGACUGGAAUGAUUUUCUGGAGGCUCGGUCUUUGCAUGUUACAGGAUGAGAUGAGUCUGAGUCAUCCUCCUCUCCUCCACUGCUAACUCUGCUGGACCACUUGGACGCGGUGCUGCACUACAUUGUUAUAAUGAACUGUGAAAUGUUGGACUUAUUGAUCCCUGUGGGAAAUUCCUUCUUCACUUUUCAGCAGCCAAAGUCCGCACUGAAGACAGAGUUUUCAGCUGAGUACACUCAGGCAGGGCAGACGCCUGCAGGUUCUUUGCUUGAAUUUGCUCUGAAUAAAAACAUGUGUCUGGCCUCAAAAACAGCCUCACAUUUAGAGCCCAUGGUGAAGUUUUGACUCUUCUGUACCGAAAACAAUAGCCAACACUUUUGAUGAUGCAGCAGGGGGCUGCAUGUUUGCUCCAGAGUGUUAAAUACUGAUGGUUUUUAUGUUUGUGGAGUUAUUCUUCUGUUACUGCUUCCUCUUACUGCUUUAAAAAAACCAACAAACAAAGAUAUAAAAGAGAAAGGAAAGAAGAAACAUCAGGGAAAAAGGCAGGCAAGAAAGAAAGAAAGAAAAAAAUUAAAGAAAUAAUAAAAAAAUGAUCAAAGACAGAAAAUUCAGAGAAAGAAAGAGAAAAAAAUCAAAGAAAUAAUAAUAAAAAAAAUUAGAGAAAGAAAAUUCAGAGAAAAAUUAAAGGAAUAAUCAUAAAAAAGAAAUUAAUCUGAGAAGGAAAAAAAAAAAAUAAAUAAAAGAAUCCAAGAAAAAAAGAAAGACUUAAAGAAUCAAAAGAGAGAAUAAAAAAAAUCAAAAACAUAAAAAAUCAAAGAACAAAAAAAAAUCAGAGAAUAAAAAAAAAGAAUCAAAAUAAUCAAAGAAUAAAAAAGAAAGAAUCAAAUAACAAAAACAGUCAAAGAAUUAUAAAGAAAGAAUCAACAAACCUUUUAAAGAAUCAAAGAAUUAAGAAGAAACAAAGAAUUAUACAGAAAGAAUCUAAAAAUUAAAAGAUUCAACGAACAAAAAAGAAUCAAAGAGUCAAAAGAAAAAAGAACAAAGAAAGAAUCAAAGAAUCAAAAGAAUCAAAGAAAGAGAAAAGAAAUCAGGGAAAAAGACAGAAAGAAAGAAAGAUAGAAAAAAGAAACGAGACAAAAUUAAGUGAAAACCAGAAAGAAAGAGGAAGACAGAAAGAAAGAAAGUUAAUCAGUCCAGUUUUAUCAGCUCAGAAAUAUAAAAUCACUAAUAUUUUUAAAAGAUCUUUAGAAUCUCAGUCAUACUUUUAAAUCCCCUCAUCCGCCGCCUUCAGACAGAACCAGAACCAACAAAUGUUCUCACACCUAUUUUACCAGUUUUAUUGCAAACUGUGAAACACUUUUUUAGCCUGUAAUGGAGAGUGUUACAUAAAUAAGGAUUAUCAUUAUAAGAGAGAAAGAAGGAGAGCGAACUGUUACCCAGUUUACUUUCUCUGUCUGCCUGCUAACAAGAUCACCAGUCUGAAUCAGAGCCACAGGUGUGUGUUUUUAUAACAGUCUCAGAUCAUUACUAUAAAAUGUUUAUAUGUAAAAAUCCUCAGAAUGAAGGAAGUUAACACAGAUGUGUAUUAAAACAAAAAAAGUACAUUAUAAGAGAAUUAACAUGAACACAUAACACCAGUCUGAGUCUCUCCUUUCCCCCAGAGCAACAUC